This is an RNA transcript of Syzygium oleosum, 2652 nucleotides long. It is a transcript of the gene named tRNA A64-2'-O-ribosylphosphate transferase, with no coding region annotated. The record is from RefSeq and is a predicted model, not a curated record. The transcript is spliced from 9 exons. Lineage: Eukaryota; Viridiplantae; Streptophyta; Magnoliopsida; Myrtales; Myrtaceae.
UCCCGUCCGAAAACCUGGCGCAAUCCUACGCCGCCGCCGCCGCCGCCGCCGGAGAUGGAGGACGACGGCGACACCGCGAGGCAGCUGAGGAAGCUGAGCAUAUACAGCGCGGCGAGGAUCAUCAAGCGGAGGGACAACAGCCUCUACAACGCCCUGAGGUCCAUCUACGAGGACUCCAUCUUCGUCGCCGAGAUCGCCCAGCUCUGGCCGGCCCUCCCCCUGGUCGCCAACCUCCGGUGCGGCCUCUGGUACUCCGCCGCCUUUCACGCCGCCUGCUACUUCAAGUCCACCGACGGUCACACCAACAACCUGUCCUUCAACACUUCGCGGCUCAACCUCCACGUCGCCCUCCUCGCCGGACAGAAAGGAGGGUGUAUCAUCGUCGAUUCAACUCGGAAAGGGAAGAGGUUUCCCGACAGCAUGUCGAAGACGAUACCCAUUUGGACGUGCAUCAUGAAUAGAGCUAUCGUCAAUUACAGGAGGAAAAUGGGCAGUGAUGGCCUAAUUUCAAAAGGGGGUGGAGAUAAAACUAAUCAACAUGAAAGUAGUGAAGGACAGGCUCCACUGGAUUGGGAUUGUUCCUUGCAUCUUCCAUUGUGGGUUUCUGAGACAGAACGGGCAACUAUAGAGAAUCACUUGGAAAGUUGGACUCAUCAGUUGGAAGCCAGUGGGGCUGAUAUUUGUUCAAUUGCCUCAUGCUUGAAGAAGCCCCUGCGUCCAUUAUGGAUUUCACAGAGAACUGUCAUUUGGUUGAAUGAAGUGCCUGAUCACGAUUCUUGGGAUUUUACACCAAUCAUACUUGUUUCUGCUUCUUGCUCAAGUGGAACUGUUCAACAUAAGACUACUUCAGAGUUCAGCUGGAACUACAUAGCAGGGGCUGGAGAUGAUGAGGAAAGCUGGGCAAGGGGUUUAUCACCAUCUCUUUUCUGGAAAAAUGUAUAUGAUAUCAUGGAAAGCGGUCCUGAUUUAUGCAAUCGGAAGGUAGCUGAUAUAGUAGAGAAGCAUAGAGUUUACCUAGCUCAUAGGGGACAUACUGUCCCUCAGGUCAAAGUCAAGGGUCCAAAAUUGCCUGGGAGUGCAUGCAAUCUUUCUUGUGACGAAUUACCCCUAGCUUCAGAGAUGGCUAAUGCUGAAGUUGAUCCUAAGUCUUCCCAUGAAAAUUGCCCCAUAACUUGGCUGGGUUUGACAAAUCUUGCUGUGGGCUCAACACAAUUCUCUGCAGAAGCAUCUGGUGUUGAUUGUGUGUUGAAUUGUUCUCAGGAGUUUAUUUCUGUCUCUUUACAAAGUACUGAGGCUUAUCUCCAUCUUCCAAUGCUGAACUCAAAACAUGAUCGGUUCUCUGUAUUAAGCAAUCUUCAGACUGCUGUAAACUUCGCAAGGUCGAAUCUUAGCAAAGGGAAGACUCUUCUCAUUUGUUGUCAGAAUGGGGAGGACAUCAGUAUAUGCACUUGUCUUGCAAUUCUAAUGUCAUUAUUUGAUAACCAAGGAACCUACGAUGAUGGAAAGUCCUUGAGCGAGACAACUGUUACUAAAUGGGACAUGCGGCGGCGACUCGUUUAUAUCUGCAAGUUUGCAACAAAUGCACGACCUUCCAGAGGAAAUCUAAAGCAGGUGUUCAAUUUUCUUACUGGCGGAGGAAGAGCGAGUUCGGAUUCUUAAGAUUAUGGACAUUGCUGCUUCCGUGAAUGCUAAUCGGAUCACCCGAGUCCUUGACAAAAGAUACAGACAGAAUUUGAAUGGGUUUGUAUGAGCUAUCUAAUAUAUCUGGGCUUCACAAUGGGUUGGUUCCACAUGGAAUGCGACUGCAUGUCUUGAAUGGCUGAAAUGGCUUACAAGACCACCUUUAGCGACCACUGGGAGCCUGAACACACAUUUGUGAGCAUGCAAAAGCAUUGUCGUGCACGUAUUGGGAUGCCAUUCCACACCCUCGAAAUCAGUCUGUCACCGUUCGAUUAAUGGGGUCUAGACGGAUAAAAUGAAUUGGACAUCGACCACGGCCCGGUAGUGCUGCGGGGUACCUAGAACCAGAUCCGAGCAAUUUUUUGACCUCAUGUGUUGAACAUUGAUGCACCCUUCAGGUUAAUUCCGGGCUGCUUCAUUGAGAUUCUGCGUGAAGAUCACCAGGGAUAGAAUCAAGUCAAGUAAACGCAAAAGAGACCAAUCAGGUGUAAAAGUUGAAUGUUGGAAGAUAAACUUUGCAAUUUGCUUUAUAGUAGAGAGAUACUACAGGCGUGCCUCGAAACCCAUUGCUCAUACCCAGGACGCAUGUUUCGAAAACGAAGGAGAUAAGGGUCUUGAAAAUGCAUCUUUUAUGUUCAGGUAACAAUUUAUCGACAAUUGAGUGAUGCCAGACUUGCUAAGAUCGGUUUAUCAAGUCGAUUUUUAAAGUGAUGUGUCAGACUGUUAUUGAUUCUUGAAGAUGGCCCACUUAUUCAAAAGGUGAUUCACAGCCCGACACAUCACUUCAUAAACCGAUUCUGCAAAUCAAUCUUCAUAAGUCUAGCAAUCCUCGAGUUCCGUGGUCUGGGUAUGAAUCACAAAGUAGAUACUUUGGCAAAUUGGCAUCAUGUCCUAGCAAAUUAGCUUUAUAGUGUGCUGUGCUUUUUUAAUGGCCCCAUAACAUGCACGACCAUACAAGAUUUUCGGCUUUUU